CUGGUCAGAAUCAACGCUGGCGGCGUGCCUAACACGUGCAAGUCGAACGCGACUGAGGGCUUCGGCUCUCAGCUGAGUGGCGAACGGGUGAGUAACACGUGGGUGACCUACCUUCGAAUGGGGGAUAACGUCCCGAAAGGGACGCUUAAUACCGCAUAACAUCCUGCCUUUGAACAGGUGGAGAUCAAAGCUGGGGAUCGCAAGACCUAGCGUUUGGAGAGGGGCCCGCGUCCGAUUAGCUAGUUGGUGGGGUAACGGCUCACCAAGGCGACGAUCGGUGGCCGGCCUGAGAGGGCGGACGGCCACACUGGGACUGAGACACGGCCCAGACUCCUACGGGAGGCAGCAGUGGGGAAUUGUUCGCAAUGGGCGCAAGCCUGACGACGCAACGCCGCGUGGAGGAUGAAGGUCUANGGAUUGUAAACUCCUGUUGCCCGGGACGAAACGCUUCGACCUAACACGUCGAAGUCUGACANUACCGGGUAGGAAGC
Molecule: ribosomal RNA, 491 nt
Filed under: uncultured Acidobacteriota bacterium
Lineage: Bacteria; Pseudomonadati; Acidobacteriota
Description: bacterial SSU rRNA
Rfam family: Bacterial small subunit ribosomal RNA
Source: RNAcentral